RNAcentral lists this long non-coding RNA (485 nucleotides) under Homo sapiens (human). RNAcentral describes it as "non-protein coding lnc-LRCOL1-2:13". Lineage: Eukaryota; Metazoa; Chordata; Mammalia; Primates; Hominidae. The record is from RNAcentral.
GCGUCUCGUCUAGAAGCUGCAGCUUGGCCUGUCUCACCUCUACACAGAGGGGCUGCUGGCGCCUGACGGAAAAAGGUCCACACACCCGAUGGCCGGCCCGGGGUGGACGCUGCUGCUACUGCUGCUGCUGCUGCUGCUGCUGGGGUCCAUGGCAGGGUAUGGGCCACAGAAGAAGUUGAACCUGUCCCAUAAGGGCAUCGGGGAGCCAUGCAGGAGACACGAGGAGUGCCAGAGCAACUGCUGUACCAUCAACAGCCUGGCCCCACACACGCUCUGCACCCCUAAGACCAUCUUCCUGCAGUGCCUGCCCUGGAGGAAGGUGAGCCCAAUGGGUACAGAUGCUCGCACGACUCAGAGUGCCAGAGCAGCUGCUGCGUCCGCAACAACAGCCCGCAGGAGUUGUGCACGCCCCAAAGCGUCUUCCUGCAGUGUGUGCCCUGGCGCAAGCCCAACGGCGACUUCUGCAGCAGCCAUCAGGAGUGUCA